CCUACGGGAGGCAGCAGUGAGGAAUAUUGGUCAAUGGGCGUAAGCCUGAACCAGCCAAGCCGCGUGAGGGAUGAAGGUUCUAUGGAUCGUAAACCUCUUUUAUAAGGGAAUAAAGUGUGGGACGUGUACUUUUUUGUAUGUAACUUACGAAUAAGGACCGGCUAACUCCGUGCCAGCAGCCGCGGUAAUACGGAGGAUUCGAGCGUUAUCCGGAUUUAUUGGGUUUAAAGGGUGCGUAGGCGGCCGUUUAAGUUAGCGGUGAAAGUCUGUGGCUCAACCAUGGAAUUGCCGUUGAAACUGGUGGGCUUGAGUAUGUUUGAGGCAGGCGGAAUGCGUGGUGUAGCGGUGAAAUGCUUAGAUAUCACGCAGAACCCCGAUUGCGAAGGCAGCCUGCCAAGCCAUGACUGACGCUGAUGCACGAAAGCGUGGGGAUCAAACAGGAUUAGAUACCCCUGUAGUC
This 460-nucleotide ribosomal RNA is filed under the name uncultured bacterium. RNAcentral's name for it is "partial 16S ribosomal RNA". It matches the Rfam family "Bacterial small subunit ribosomal RNA", at positions 338 to 795 of the family's 1533-position model. The record is from RNAcentral.